Molecule: non-coding RNA, 679 nt
Organism: Pelodiscus sinensis (Chinese soft-shelled turtle)
Lineage: Eukaryota; Metazoa; Chordata; Testudines; Trionychidae
Source: RefSeq, a predicted model, not a curated record
UGAAGGUGAAAGACACUGUGAGAGACUCUCAUCCACACAUAUCUUCCAGGACGCUCCAUGCAGUCAUAUUAGUGCUCUCUCUGAAAGAAUUUUUCUGCUCAUCUAUCACAUCUAAGAAGUAGAGUGACAGCAGCACAUUCCUUUGAGAUUGACCCCACCAUCUCAGAGAAAGCAACAUGAAGCUGACACAUUUUAAGGAAAAGAAAGUGAAAGUUUUCUCAAAUUAAAUGUGAUUUGUAUGAAGAAAACAAAGCAAACUGGAAGAGGAAGAAUACUGAAGCACUGAGGAGGAGGAGGAAAGCAUUUGGAGAAGAAGAUAAACAAAUUAAACUUGUAUUAAGGAUAUGUAUCAAGAUGUAGUGACUUUCAUUUCAAGAGGCUGAUGCUUGUUCUCUUUUAUGCUGCCCUCCCCUCCCUCCCCACAUCUUUCUAAAGAAGCUGGGACUAGAUGACAUGGGAUAUAUCAUCACUUGCUAACUGCCCUGUUCUUUUCAUUCCCUCUGAAGCAUCAGACACUUGCCAAUGUGAGAAGACAGGAUACUGGGUUAGAUGGACCAUUGGUCUCACCUAGUUUGGCCAUUCUUAAGCUCCUAAAUUAUCUGCUUUAAAGACUAAGAUUUUUGAGGCCUUCCAUAUUUUGUUCAUAGUUCAUUAUAUUUUCUAUGCCACUUGGUUAAUA